Long non-coding RNA from Orbicella faveolata, 1323 nucleotides. RefSeq lists it as uncharacterized. The record is from RefSeq and is a predicted model, not a curated record. Lineage: Eukaryota; Metazoa; Cnidaria; Anthozoa; Scleractinia; Merulinidae.
GGAGAGGGGAUUGCAGUUUGACACUAAUCGAACCUGACUUUGCUUUGCUGUAGGACAAUUAUCAACUAAGACAGGAAAACCCUUCUCAAGGAAAAAUUAUGCAAAUGAGAAAUUUUUGUAUAGCCGACACAAACCCAAAAAAGUAACAGGGUGUUUUCACACCUUCCAACACACAAAUCAAUACACCGUUCAAUGAGAAAAUUCAUAGUGAACAUUUUGACCAGGGGCCAUAUAUCAGUUGAUGAAACCAACUGAGGGGGCGGAGGGAUGGACAUACCUUCCCCCAAAGAAAAUUUGAAAAUCUAGAUUCUCCUAGAUGUUAUACGUGGUAUUUGAAACCAGAAGUUGGUUGAGCCUUCGUAUGACACCUCCCCCUGGAUUCGUAUAUUCUUGUCAGUUGUAUCUCCGAGUACAAUUUCGGGGCCGGUUAAAUAAAUCUUGACAUCAGUACUUUUCAUUUCUUUACAUAUAUGUGAAGGGCACCGUAUUAGACGGGAUAGCUUGGAGAACUGGAAACAGCGAAGACGGCAGAAGAUUGGAUGAUAACCAUAUAAGUUUCUGGAUGACUGAUUUCAUUAACAAUGGAGCAACUAACGAAGAGAUAGGAAAGGAAGUUACCUGUGUCAGUUGCAAAUUUUUGUGGACGAUUCAGGAUGAUGGAACAGUUUGCAAGGAUUUGGAAAGAGCGUCUUUGUUUAUUUGCAGCAGCUUCUGGGUGACUGAUUUCAAUAACAACGGAACAAUUAAAUAAUAAAAAGAUUGGAAAGGACCUUAUCUCUGUCAUAGCUAAUGAUUCAAAAACGAACAUCGGAACGUUCACUGGAAUCACCAAAGAGUGAAGCAAGGCAAAGCAGAUCGUGAUAAACUGAUUUUGGAUAAAUGCUGUACUUUUUUAGUGUCCGAUGAAAAAGUCGACACAAUUGUCUUAGAUUAAAAAUUUUCGCUUUAAAAGCGAACGAAUCUUUCAAAGCGACUGGGAAAAAAAGUCAGAAAAGUCUUUUGGCAGGAAAAUUUAUCAAGGUUAAAGAUACUGCGCUUUUAAAAGAUACAAAAAGUUGGAAAAAAAACUAAGUCUUUUGGCGGGAAAAUUGACCUUAGGAAAAAAAAGUCUGCGCUUUUGAAUGGGGUGUGGUCUUAAGUUAAAAAUAUACUAAGUCUUUUGUUGGGAAAAAUCUUGCUUUGUACAACAGAUUUGUCCCAUCAAAAGUCAAAGUAUAUGGUUGAUUUCCGACUAGACUCUGUUCAAAAAUGCAGAAUUUUUUUCUUUUUGGCAACCCUAUAUAGUCAAAAAAUAGUAAAAGAGAUAGCCUACAUUUCGACUAG